RNAcentral lists this ribosomal RNA (406 nucleotides) under uncultured bacterium. RNAcentral's name for it is "bacterial SSU rRNA". It matches the Rfam family "Bacterial small subunit ribosomal RNA", at positions 28 to 426 of the family's 1533-position model. The record is from RNAcentral.
GACGAACGCUGGCGGCGUGCCUAACACAUGCAAGUCGAGCGAGAAAGCCCCUUCGGGGGGUGAGUACAGCGGCGAACGGGUGAGUAACACGUGGGCAACCUGCCCCAAGGAGCGGGACAACCCCGGGAAACCGGAGCUAAUACCGCAUGAUCCGCCACGGCUCAAGCCGUGUCGGCAAAUGGUCGCUUCGGCCUCCGCCUUGGGAUGGGCCCGCGGCGCAUUAGCUUGUUGGUGGGGUAACGGCUCACCAAGGCGACGAUGCGUAGCUGGUCUGAGAGGACGAUCAGCCACACUGGGACUGAGACACGGCCCAGACUCCUACGGGAGGCAGCAGUGGGGAAUCUUGCGCAAUGGGCGAAAGCCUGACGCAGCAACGCCGCGUGAGGGACGACGGCCCUCGGGUUGU